UACAGAGGGGGCAAGCGUUAUUCGGAAUUAUUGGGCGUAAAGGGCGCGUAGGCGGCCUGGCAAGUGGAAGGUGAAAUCCCCCGGCUUAACCGAGGAACUGCCCUCCAAACUGCUUGGCUUGAGUCCGGGAGAGGUGAGUGGAAUUCCCAGUGUAGCGGUGAAAUGCGUAGAUAUUGGGAGGAACACCAGUGGCGAAGGCGGCUCACUGGACCGGUACUGACGCUGAUGCGCGAAAGCGUGGGGAGCAAACGGG
RNAcentral lists this ribosomal RNA (253 nucleotides) under uncultured bacterium. RNAcentral's name for it is "partial 16S ribosomal RNA". It matches the Rfam family "Bacterial small subunit ribosomal RNA", at positions 524 to 776 of the family's 1533-position model. The record is from RNAcentral.